GGCUGCUCUAAUAACUGUUUGUUGUGGGUGGGCUACUCUGGCACUUGCUUAUGGUCGGUGGGUGACUCGACUAACUUAGGCACUGACCGACAGAAAGUCAGGUGCCUGGUUAGUCUUCCCCCCGAAGGGGAGAUAUGUGACGAAGUGCCCUUCGCCACUUGGUCCUGGAGAGGCCUACUUGCCAGCCUCCUCCCCUGUGACUAUGACUCUUUCAUGUAUCUGGCUUUAAAGCCCC
Non-coding RNA from Pelobates cultripes (western spadefoot toad), 235 nucleotides. The record is from the annotation of a GenBank genome assembly. NCBI's taxonomy places the organism in Eukaryota, Metazoa, Chordata, Amphibia, Anura, Pelobatidae.